Molecule: ribosomal RNA, 270 nt
Filed under: uncultured prokaryote
Description: partial 16S ribosomal RNA
Rfam family: Bacterial small subunit ribosomal RNA
Source: RNAcentral
UACGUAGGGGCAAGCGUUGUCCGGAAUUAUUGGGCGUAAAGCGCGCGCAGGCGGUCCUUUAAGUCUGAUGUGAAAGCCCACGGCUUAACCGUGGAGGGUCAUUGGAAACUGGUCGACUUGAGUGCAGAAGAGGGAAGUGGAAUUCCAUGUGUAGCGGUGAAAUGCGUAGAUAUUAGGAGGAACACCAGUUGCGAAGGCGGCUCUCUGGACUGUAACUGACACUGAGGCACGAAAGCGUGGGGAGCAAACAGGAUUAGAUACCCGCGUAGU